AGAGUUUGAUCCUGGCUCAGAUUGAACGCUGGCGGCAUGCCUAACACAUGCAAGUCGAACGGAAACGAUGCUAGCUUGCUAGCAGGCGUCGAGUGGCGGACGGGUGAGUAAUGUAUAGGGAUCUGCCUAGUAGUGGGGGACAACAUGUGGAAACGCAUGCUAAUACCGCAUACGCUCUACGGAGGAAAGUGGGGGACCUUUCGGGGCCUCAUGCUACUAGAUGAACCUAUAUUGGAUUAGCUUGUUGGUAAGGUAAUGGCUUACCAAGGCGACGAUCCAUAGCUGGUUUGAGAGAAUGAUCAGCCACACUGGGACUGAGACACGGCCCAGACUCCUACGGGAGGCAGCAGUGGGGAAUAUUGCACAAUGGAGGAAACUCUGAUGCAGCAAUGCCGCGUGUGUGAAGAAGGCCUUAGGGUUGUAAAGCACUUUCAGACGUGAGGAAAAGUAAUAAUUUAAUAAAUUAUUACCUUGACGUUAACGUCAGAAGAAGGACCGGCUAACUCCGUGCCAGCAGCCGCGGUAAUACGGAGGGUCCAAGCGUUAAUCGGAAUUACUGGGCGUAAAGCGCGCGUAGGCGGAUAUUUAAGUCAGAUGUGAAAUCCCUGGGCUCAACCUAGGAACUGCAUUUGAUACUGGAUAUCUAGAGUAUGGUAGAGGUGAGUGGAAUUUCAGGUGUAGCGGUGAAAUGCGUAGAGAUCUGAAGGAACAUCAGUGGCGAAGGCGACUCACUGGGCCAUUACUGACGCUGAGGUGCGAAAGCGUGGGUAGCAAACAGGAUUAGAUACCCUGGUAGUCCACGCCCUAAACGAUGUCAACUA
This 821-nucleotide ribosomal RNA is filed under the name uncultured bacterium. RNAcentral's name for it is "bacterial SSU rRNA". It matches the Rfam family "Bacterial small subunit ribosomal RNA", at positions 8 to 818 of the family's 1533-position model. The record is from RNAcentral.